This 350-nucleotide ribosomal RNA is filed under the name uncultured Ruminococcus sp. Its description in RNAcentral is "bacterial SSU rRNA". It matches the Rfam family "Bacterial small subunit ribosomal RNA", at positions 790 to 1145 of the family's 1533-position model. The record is from RNAcentral. Lineage: Bacteria; Bacillati; Bacillota; Clostridia; Eubacteriales; Oscillospiraceae.
GUAGUCCACGCCGUAAACGAUGAUUACUAGGUGUGGGGGGACUGACCCCUUCCGUGCCGCAGCAAACGCAAUAAGUAAUCCACCUGGGGAGUACGACCGCAAGGUUGAAACUCAAAGGAAUUGACGGGGGCCCGCACAAGCAGUGGAGUAUGUGGAUUAAUUCGAAGCAACGCGAAGAACCUUACCAGGUCUUGACAUCGUAUGCAUAGCUCAGAGAUGAGUGAAAUCUCUUCGGAGACAUAUAGACAGGUGGUGCAUGGUUGUCGUCAGCUCGUGUCGUGAGAUGUUGGGUUAAGUCCCGCAACGAGCGCAACCCUUACUGUUAGUUGCUACGCAAGAGCACUCUAGCA